GGGCGGGUAGCUCAGUUGGCUAGAGCAUCUGACUUACAUUCAGGAGGUCGUGGGUUCAAGUCCCUCUCCGCCCA
Molecule: transfer RNA, 74 nt
Filed under: marine sediment metagenome
Rfam family: tRNA
About the family: Transfer RNA (tRNA) molecules are approximately 80 nucleotides in length. Their secondary structure includes four short double-helical elements and three loops (D, anti-codon, and T loops).
Source: RNAcentral